Grammomys surdaster is the source of this 1081-nucleotide long non-coding RNA. RefSeq lists it as uncharacterized. NCBI's taxonomy places the organism in Eukaryota, Metazoa, Chordata, Mammalia, Rodentia, Muridae. The transcript is spliced from 3 exons. The record is from RefSeq and is a predicted model, not a curated record.
AGCACAGUCUUUGGAGCAAGCUCCUCACAGCCGUUUUUACACAGACGGAGAAUGCUGCUCGGCGCAGCAUUUAUCGUCUGACAAAGAGUCAGUUCAUCCAAGUCUGUGUCUCUCAUUGUCCCAAGUAACCUCAAGUGCCACCUGCUUCCUUAUGAAGCCUUGAGGGACAGAGAGAAACUCUACAGAUAUUGCCUAUAGAAUGUCAGGAACAACUUUGCAUUAAGUGGUUUACGAUCUAGCGGGGGAAACACACACACAGUGGAGAGCCAAUCAUCGGAGACUGGGGAACAGCGUCGACAGCUGUUGACUGAAUGAGUAAAUGGGAGAUGAAGGAAGAUGAGUCUUAACUGGGCGUUACAAAAUGGCCACAUACAGAUCCUGACCGAGACUUCCUGGAGCAGAGCGGUUGUAGGUAUCAGGUGGGAUUGGUUUUUGCAUAUGCCAUCUGUGACUAACCACUUCCCCACACGCGUCCAUUUUUGAAUCUCUCCAAAAGGGGUUAACUCUAUCAUAGAGUGAUUGUGGAAUACUAGAAAGUAUCUAUAUAUACAAUUGACUAAUAAGAAAUGUUACGUUAUUAAUAGUAAAAGUGUUUUGUUAUUAUCAAUGUAUCGUUACUCUGUUUAACUUUAUGAUUAAAAUGUUGGAGCAGUGAACGAUGAGAUGUGGAAAGCAGUGUGUCACAGGGGAUCCGGAAGUGGAAAAGGCUGGAAAGAGAGGCCAGUCCUCCCGAGUACAGUCUCGACGCUCAUUUAAAGCAGCAGGUGGGCUGGAGAGAAAGCUUAUUGGUUAAGAGCGCCUCCUUCUGGACCCUGUGGACACUACAUGUAUGUCAGACAGGUGUGAACAAAACGUCCAUACACGAAAGGAAGAAAGGAAGAAAGAAAGAAAACAAAUCUUUAAAAAGAAAAUUAAAGCAGUAUGUGCCGUUCCAGAUUUUCGUUCCCAGAUCAGAUGUCAUUUAAAGUCCUCAUAACAAAGUUUAUACCAUGCUACUAAUGGUAUUUCAAACCAUAGGCGUAAUUAUGGAUACUAUUUACAUUUUGCUUAUAAAAUAUACUACUUUUCACCAUUUUAAAAA